GAUGAAGAACGUAGUGAAAUGCGAUAAGUAAUGCGAAUUGCAGAAUUCAGUGAGUCAUCGAAUCUUUGAACGCACAUUGCGCCCUGUGGUAUUCCGCAGGGCAUGCCUGUUCGAGUGUCAUUUCAACCCUCAAGCUCUGCUUGGUGUUGGGCCCUGCCCGCUGCGGCCGGCCCUAAAGACAGUGGCGGUGCCGCCUGGCCCUGAGCGUAGUACAUCUCUCGCUCCAGUGCCCGGUGGUAGCCUGCCAGAACCCCAACUCUCGUGGUUGACCUCGGAUCAGGUAGGGAUACCCGCUGAACUUAAGCAUAUCAAUAAGCGGAGGA
This 323-nucleotide unclassified non-coding RNA is filed under the name soil metagenome. RNAcentral's name for it is "partial contains 5.8S ribosomal RNA, internal transcribed spacer 2, and large subunit ribosomal RNA". The stretch from base 1 to 120 matches the Rfam family "5.8S ribosomal RNA", at positions 35 to 154 of the family's 154-position model. The record is from RNAcentral.